UUCGGGUAUUUACGGUCCCGCGGGCUGAAGAAAUACCAUUCUAGGUCUUUGCUUGGCAACAACGACUUUCCUGUUUUUCAUCCAUCAUCACUUUUAUUACUUACUAUCAUUUUAUAUAUACAAAAAAUGUUUAUAUUUGUUUCAGAUAUCCUCUUCUGGGAUGGCUCUCAGUCUCCUAGUUGUUGCUGUCGCAUUCUUUCUUAAGGUAGAAAUAAUAAUAUUUUAUGUAUAGUUAGCGAACUGGUUUUACAAACCUUGUAAUAUUCUCCUGAUAUUUGCAAUCCAUGCAUAUUCAAGGGUGCCGUAGCACAUGAUUCUUCACUAUAUGGCUUAUUGGGGAUCCUCUCAGUUGUCGGUGUUGUGGUAUGCUUUCUUCUCGAACUUCCAAGGUUUUCUGUGUUGGUGUUGUGUAGUUUUCAGCUUGUUGACAUAUUAUCUCUACUAAAAUGAUUGAAUUAGUGUAUAUGUGAGAUCGAACAUUUUUUAUUCAUCAGUCAAAGUAAAAAUGCACUUGGUAACUUGAUUAUGUGUAUUUUAAAGUUUCGAAGAGGGUAAUAUACUAAUAUUGAACUGUGCAAAUUGCAAUAAGACAAGAUAUUCAGUCCUCCGUAGAUAUAUUACCGACAUUUUUUACCGACUCAUUAAACUGCUUUAUGGUUAAAAUAAUGCAUUCGAAAUGAAUAUAUUACCUAAGUGCUUCUUGUUAUGUGUAUUACAUAAUAUGAUAUUCAAGAUUUCUGUUUUUCAUUCUUCACUUGGACCUUUGUGCCUUUAUUGUAAGAAGUUUAUUGUUGAUUGAAUCGAAAUCAAGGUUAAUUUUUUAGAAAUGUGUUGCUUGGACAGGUGCAGGGGAAAAGGAGUAAAUGCUUUAUAGCUUCUUGAAGUAAUACCUUGUGUGAUCCAUGAGGUUUGUCAAAUAAUCCAUAAAAUUUAUAUCUCUCUAUUGUAAUAUCUAAAUAAUGUAUAUAACUCUUUAAACUACUUUGCUUUGUAGAUUGACAAGUGAAAGGACAAUAUUGGUUAUGAAGACCUCUAUUAGUUUUGGAUAUGAUGUUCCAACGGCUACUAUUUUGAACAUUUUUUGUUUGUAUUAGUUUAGGAUGAAUUUAAACAUUAAUCCAAACUUGUAGGAUAUUGUAUUAUAUAAUAUGGAUGUA
This 1157-nucleotide long non-coding RNA is filed under the name Salvia miltiorrhiza (redroot sage). Its description in RNAcentral is "long non-coding RNA (SMIL_LNC004527)". The record is from RNAcentral. Lineage: Eukaryota; Viridiplantae; Streptophyta; Magnoliopsida; Lamiales; Lamiaceae.